UAUGCUUUUCCUAAAGAUUAAGCCAUGCAUGCCUUCGAAUAGGAGGAAGCAAUUCUCUCUGAAUCUGCGAACGGCUCCGCAAACCAGCUGCAAACUAAGGUAGGCACGCCUGGUCUGGUACCCUCACGGGUCUGGGCUACGGCUACAUGGAUAACCCUGGUAAUUCUGAGGCUAAUACAUGACAGUACGCACGCUCGGUUGGCAUCAGUCUCCUCGGAGACCGCCGGCUGGGUGGAUGUGUGACUAACGGCCUGGGGAUCCGCGAUAGAACGCACGUUUAGACCAUCAUCAAUGGCCUCUACGGUCCUUCGGGACCUAAGCGGGUCAGAUGGCUCCUAUACAGUGCUUCUGACCUAUCAACUAGACAGCAGCGUAACGUACAUGCCGUGGUUUCUACGGGUACAGAGGAUUAGAGUUCGAUCCUGGAGAGUGGGCCUGAGAGAUUGCUCAUACUUCUAAGGAAGGCAGCAGGCGCGCAACGUUCCCAGUGGGCAAAGCCCGAGGGCGUUAGGGGACAUAUGAAUGCCUGCCAAUAAGGCGGGCAAUUCAAAUGGGUCUGUUGUAAAUAGGCUCUCGAGUAACAAUUAGAGGA
This 592-nucleotide ribosomal RNA is filed under the name Lamproderma sp. AMFD-2012. RNAcentral's name for it is "bacterial SSU rRNA". It matches the Rfam family "Eukaryotic small subunit ribosomal RNA", at positions 27 to 555 of the family's 1831-position model. Lineage: Eukaryota; Evosea; Eumycetozoa; Stemonitida; Stemonitidae. The record is from RNAcentral.